GCCCGGUUAGCUCAAUCGGUAGAGCGUGAGACUCUUAAUCUCAAGGUUGCGGGUGAGUGGCAAUUAAAAAAAUUCAUAUCAACGAUCAAAAUACUAAUCCUGUACGUCUAGGUUCGACCCCCGCAUCGGGCU
This is a non-coding RNA of Xylaria digitata, 132 nucleotides long. The record is from the annotation of a GenBank genome assembly. NCBI's taxonomy places the organism in Eukaryota, Fungi, Ascomycota, Sordariomycetes, Xylariales, Xylariaceae.